Molecule: RNA transcript, 1404 nt
Organism: Dipodomys spectabilis (banner-tailed kangaroo rat)
Lineage: Eukaryota; Metazoa; Chordata; Mammalia; Rodentia; Heteromyidae
Gene: Sirt4
Gene name: sirtuin 4
Exons: 5
Source: RefSeq, a predicted model, not a curated record
AGAUGACUGGGUUUGACUUCUAGAACAGACGCGGCAAGAAGAGCCUGGAAUGAGGAUGAGCUGUGGAUUGACUUACAGGUCAAUGAAAAGCCAUUGGAUCACAAAACUCAGCCGGCCUUGCUCACAUGGACCCAUGGGAUUAUUUGUGCCACCAAGUCCUCCUUUGGACCCUAAGAAGGUCAAAGAGUUACAACGCUUCAUCACCCUUUCCAAGAAACUUCUAGUGAUGACCGGGGCAGGAAUCUCAACUGAAUCAGGAAUCCCAGACUACCGGUCAGAAAAGGUGGGACUGUAUGCUCGUACAGACCGGCGACCUAUCCAGCAUGUAGAUUUUGUACGAAGUGCUCCCAUCCGCCAGCGCUACUGGGCAAGAAACUUUGUGGGCUGGCCUCAGUUCUCAGCCCACCAGCCGAAUCCUGCCCACUGGGCUUUGAGCAACUGGGAGAAAAGAGGAAAGCUGCACUGGUUGGUGACUCAAAAUGUGGACGCUUUGCACACGAAAGCAGGGAAUCAGCGCUUGACGGAGCUGCAUGGGUGCAUGCACAGGGUCCUCUGCCUGAAUUGUGGUGAGCAGACUCCUCGGGGGUUGCUGCAGGAACGCUUUCAGGACCUGAACCCCAGCUGGAGUGCUGAGGCCCAGGGCGUGGCUCCCGAUGGAGAUGUGUUUCUCUCCGAGGAGCAGGUCCAGACUUUCCAGGUCCCGUCCUGCGUGCGGUGCGGAGGCCCUCUGAAACCAGAUGUUGUUUUCUUCGGGGACACAGUGAACCCUGAUAAGGUUGAUUUUGUGCACAGGCGUGUGAGGGAAGCCGAUUCCUUGCUGGUAGUAGGAUCUUCUCUGCAGGUGUACUCUGGUUACAGGUUUAUCCUCACUGCCCGGGAGAAGAAGCUACCAAUUGCCAUACUGAACAUUGGGCCCACACGAUCAGAUGAUUUGGCAUGUCUGAAACUGAAUUCUCGCUGUGGAGAGUUGUUGCCUUUAAUAGUUCCACACUGACUAUAGCCUGAUCCUCCUGAGCCGAAAUCUGGAACGCUUUCUUGAAUCCUGCUGCUGAAGAUCCCUAAGGAUUCAGCCCCUUUCCCUCCAACUAAAUUAAGCUCACUGCAAGCUAUAGAGGGCAGCAAGCUACCAUCUCUUCAACAGCCUAUCUCUGAACAGAUGAGAGUCAACCUCUGAAGAGACUCUUUCAAAGAAACAAUUGCUCUUGAUGGGAAAACUGCACUCAUUCCAUUCUUAUGUCACCCAGUAGAAGAAAUGGCCUGGGAAAUGUACAGACUGGCAUGGUCUUUGCAGUGCUAACCCAGAGAUUUCACUAAUUUGUGGAGUAGGGCUAGAAGGAAAUAACUUGACUUAUAAUUCCAAAUGGUUGUAUCUUUAACUGAACUAUUUUGAUAUAUUUUUGACAC